This 279-nucleotide ribosomal RNA is filed under the name uncultured bacterium. RNAcentral's name for it is "partial 16S ribosomal RNA". It matches the Rfam family "Bacterial small subunit ribosomal RNA", at positions 506 to 784 of the family's 1533-position model. The record is from RNAcentral.
UGCCAGCCGCCGCGGUAAUACGGAGGGUGCAAGCGUUGCUCGGAAUAACUGGGCGUAAAGAGCAUGUAGGCGGGUUGAUAAGUUGGCUGUGAAAGCCCAGAGCUUAACUCUGGAACUGCAUCCAAAACUGUCGAUCUUGAGUAUAGGAGGGGGUUGUGGAAUUCCCGGUGUAGCGGUGAAAUGCGUAGAGAUCGGAAGGAAUACCGGUGGCGAAGGCGGCCUCCUGGACCAAUAUUGACGCUGAGGUGCGAAAGCGUGGGUAGCAAACAGGAUUAGAUA